Molecule: long non-coding RNA, 240 nt
Organism: Epinephelus lanceolatus (giant grouper)
Lineage: Eukaryota; Metazoa; Chordata; Actinopteri; Perciformes; Serranidae
Source: RefSeq, a predicted model, not a curated record
CCCUAACAUGUACUUGAAAUUGUUAUUUUACAGACAUAACAAGUAGUUGUCAUCUGUCUUCAUGAAAUGAAGCCACACUUUGGACCAUCUUUUCAUCUCUACAGUGACUUGUUAUUGGUCCGGGAACAUGUGACGUCAAACAUACCAGAGUGUAAUUAAAGGCUACAGACCUCCAUCCAGACUGAUGUAUGGCAUAUUACCUGUUACUGAACUUGAACUUAAAUAAAAUGGAUGAUGUGA